UUAGCUGGUUUGUCCAGUGCUGA
RNAcentral lists this microRNA (23 nucleotides) under Monodelphis domestica (gray short-tailed opossum). RNAcentral's name for it is "mdo-miR-7338-3p". Lineage: Eukaryota; Metazoa; Chordata; Mammalia; Didelphimorphia; Didelphidae. The record is from miRBase by way of RNAcentral.